UACGAAGGGGGCUAGCGUUGUUCGGAAUCACUGGGCGUAAAGCGCACGUAGGCGGACUCUUAAGUCAGGGGUGAAAUCCUGGAGCUCAACUCCAGAACUGCCUUUGAUACUGGGAGUCUUGAGACCGGGAGAGGUGAGUGGAAUUCCCAGUGUAGCGGUGAAAUGCGUAGAUAUUGGGAGGAACACCAGUGGCGAAGGCGGCUCACUGGACCGGAACUGACGCUGAUGCGCGAAAGCGUGGGGAGCAAACAGG
RNAcentral lists this ribosomal RNA (253 nucleotides) under uncultured bacterium. Its description in RNAcentral is "partial 16S ribosomal RNA". It matches the Rfam family "Bacterial small subunit ribosomal RNA", at positions 524 to 776 of the family's 1533-position model. The record is from RNAcentral.